UGGGGAAUAUUGGACAAUGGGCGCAAGCCUGAUCCAGCAAUGCCGCGUGUGUGAAGAAGGCCUUCGGGUUGUAAAGCACUUUCAUCAGGAGCGAACGCUGUCNGACUAAUACCCGGCGGAACUGACGGUACCUGAGGAAUAAGCACCGGCUAACUUCGUGCCAGCAGCCGCGGUAAUACGAAGGGUGCAAGCGUUAAUCGGAAUUACUGGGCGUAAAGCGUGCGUAGGCGGUUUCUUAAAGUCUGCUGUGAAAUCCCCGGGCUCAACCUGGGAAUGGCAGUGGAUACUGGGAGGCUAGAGUGUGUCAGAGGGUGGUGGAAUUCCCGGUGUAGCGGUGAAAUGCGUAGAGAUCGGGAGGAACAUCAGUGGCGAAGGCGGCCACCUGGGACAACACUGACGCUGAGGCACGAAAGCGUGGGGAGCAAACAGGAUUAGAUACCCUGGUAGUCCACGCCGNNAAACGAUGCCGAAAGCUGGAAUGUUCGGUCUCAACUCGGAGAUCAGUGUCGAAGCUAACGCGUAAGUUCGCGCUGGGGAGUACGGUCGCAAGACUGAAACUCAAAGGAAUUGGACGGGGUCAUAGCUGUUUCCU
RNAcentral lists this ribosomal RNA (592 nucleotides) under uncultured bacterium. RNAcentral describes it as "partial 16S ribosomal RNA". It matches the Rfam family "Bacterial small subunit ribosomal RNA", at positions 355 to 938 of the family's 1533-position model. The record is from RNAcentral.